GAUUUACUGAUUUAGCAUGAUUCAAUCUUAUCCUCCAUAAUAUGAAUAUCAAACACUACAGAAUAUUACAGAGAAAAAAUGGGCAAGGAAGAUAUGUAGCUUUUCAAAAAGAUUAAGGCAAUCUUGGUUAUCUUCAAAUUCAACUUUAGCCCAAUUUAAGCAGCAAAAAAUUGAAGCAUCAAAAUUAAACAGAUAUAGGAACAGAAACAUCAAAGAUAAACAUGAAGUCAUGAACAGAAAGGAACAUGAACAGAGAGCAACAUGUUUUCUGUGAUAGAGAAGAACAGGAACAAGAACAGAACCAUGAACAGAAUCAUGCCCGCAUACAUGAACCGAGGUGGAAGGCAGAGUAUUACCGGCGAGCUGGGCGAGGUGGAGAGCUGGGCGACGACGGUGGAGGUGGGGAGCUGGGCGACGGUGAUGGAGGAGAGCUCGGCGACGACGGUGGAGGUGGGGAGCUGGGCGACGGCGAUGGAGGAGAGGUGCGACGGUGGAGGUGGCGAGCUGGGCGACUACGAUGGAGGAGCGGAGCUCC
Non-coding RNA from Arachis ipaensis, 535 nucleotides. NCBI's taxonomy places the organism in Eukaryota, Viridiplantae, Streptophyta, Magnoliopsida, Fabales, Fabaceae. The record is from RefSeq and is a predicted model, not a curated record.